Molecule: ribosomal RNA, 219 nt
Filed under: uncultured bacterium
Lineage: Bacteria
Description: partial 16S ribosomal RNA
Rfam family: Bacterial small subunit ribosomal RNA
Source: RNAcentral
GCAAGUCGAACGAAAUCUUCGGAUUUAGUGGCGGACGGGUGAGUAACGCGUGAGAAUCUGCCUUCAGGAGGGGGACAACAGUUGGAAACGGCUGCUAAUACCCCAUAUGCCGAGAGGUGAAAUGAGUUUCGCCUGAAGAUGAGCUCGCGUCUGAUUAGCUAGUUGGUAGUGUAAUGGACUACCAAGGCAUUGAUCAGUAGCUGGUCUGAGAGGAUGAUC